This 28-nucleotide small RNA is filed under the name Bombyx mori (domestic silkworm). Its description in RNAcentral is "ovarian small RNA-17277". The record is from RNAcentral. Lineage: Eukaryota; Metazoa; Arthropoda; Insecta; Lepidoptera; Bombycidae.
GGACCUGAUAAUUGUGGGACUUGAGUUC